ACAGACAACAGGCACAGACAACAGACACAGACAACAGGCACAGACAACAGACACAGACAACAGACACAAACAACAGGCACAAACAACAGGCACAAACAACAGGCACAGACAACAGGCACAGACAACAGGCACAUACAACAGACAACAGGCACAGACAACAGGCACAGACAACAGGCACAUACAACAGACAACAGGCACAGACAACAGGCACAGACAACAGACAACAGGCACAGACAACAGACAACAGGCACAGAUAACAGACAACAGACAACAGACAACAGGCACAGACAACAGGCACAGACAACAG
Molecule: long non-coding RNA, 307 nt
Organism: Oncorhynchus tshawytscha (Chinook salmon)
Lineage: Eukaryota; Metazoa; Chordata; Actinopteri; Salmoniformes; Salmonidae
Source: Ensembl